GAUGAACGCUGGCGGCGUGCCUAAUACAUGCAAGUCGAGCGAACGGACGAGAAGCUUGCUUCUCUGAUGUUAGCGGCGGACGGGUGAGUAACACGUGGAUAACCUACCUACAAGACUGGGAUAACUUCGGGAAACCGGAGCUAAUACCGGAUAAUAUUUUGAACCGCAUGGUUCAAAAGUGAAAGACGGUCUUGCUGUCACUUAUAGAUGGAUCCGCGCUGCAUUAGCUAGUUGGUAAGGUAACGGCUUACCAAGGCAACGAUGCAUAGCCGACCUGAGAGGGUGAUCGGCCACACUGGAACUUAGACACGGUCCAGACUCCUACGGGAGGCAGCAGUAGGGAAUCUUCCGCAAUGGGCGAAAGCCUGACGGAGCAACGCCGCGUGAGUGAUGAAGGUCUUCGGAUCGUAAAACUCUGUUAUUAGGGAAGAACAUAUGUGUAAGUAACUGUGCACAUCUUGACGGUACCUAAUCAGAAAGCCACGGCUAACUACGUG
This 497-nucleotide ribosomal RNA is filed under the name uncultured bacterium. RNAcentral describes it as "partial 16S ribosomal RNA". It matches the Rfam family "Bacterial small subunit ribosomal RNA", at positions 28 to 507 of the family's 1533-position model. The record is from RNAcentral.